CAGGCAACGAGCGAGACCCACGCCAACAGUUGCCAGCUCGUCCUCCGGGAUGGUGGGGACACUGUUGGGACGCCUCUGCUAAAGAGGAGGAAGGAAUGGGCAACGGUAGGUCAGCAUGCCCCGAAUUAUCUGGGCUACACGCGGGCUACAAUGGGUGGGACAAUGGGUAUCGACACCGAAAGGUGAAGGCAAUCUCCUAAACCCAUCCGUAGUUCGGAUUGUGGGCUGUAACUCGCCCACAUGAAGCUGGAAUCUGUAGUAAUCGUGUUUCAAAAUAGCGCGGUGAAUAUGUCCCUGCUCCUU
This 303-nucleotide ribosomal RNA is filed under the name uncultured Methanomicrobiales archaeon. Its description in RNAcentral is "bacterial SSU rRNA". It matches the Rfam family "Archaeal small subunit ribosomal RNA", at positions 1035 to 1338 of the family's 1478-position model. The record is from RNAcentral. Lineage: Archaea; Methanobacteriati; Methanobacteriota; Methanomicrobia; Methanomicrobiales.